AGAGUUUGAUCAUGGCUCAGAUUGAACGCUGGCGGUAGGCUUAACACAUGCAAGUCGUGCGAGAAAGUAUCUUCGGAUAUGAGUUUAGCGGCGGACGGGUGAGUAACGCGUUGAAUCUUCCUAGUAGAAGGGGAUAGCCCGAGGAAACUCGGAUUAAUACCGUAUACCUCCUUCGGGAGAAAGAAGCCUCUCUUUGAAGCUUUCGCUUCUAGAUGAGCCUGCGUUAGAUUAGCUUGUUGGUGAGGUAAAGGCUCACCAAGGCGACAAUCUUUAUCGGGUCUGAGAGGACGAUCCGCCACAUUGGGACUGAGACCGGCCCCGACUCCUUCCGGAGGCAGCAGUGGGGAAUAUUGGACAAUGGGCGCAAGCCUGAUCCA
Molecule: ribosomal RNA, 377 nt
Filed under: uncultured gamma proteobacterium DCM-FREE-13
Lineage: Bacteria; Pseudomonadati; Pseudomonadota; Gammaproteobacteria
Description: bacterial SSU rRNA
Rfam family: Bacterial small subunit ribosomal RNA
Source: RNAcentral